Danio aesculapii is the source of this 1258-nucleotide long non-coding RNA. RefSeq lists it as uncharacterized. Lineage: Eukaryota; Metazoa; Chordata; Actinopteri; Cypriniformes; Danionidae. The transcript is spliced from 6 exons. The record is from RefSeq and is a predicted model, not a curated record.
GUGUGAUUAACUAAAAUAUUAAAUAAAAUAAUUAGAGCUGAAUGAAGAUUAAUCGCAUCCAAAAUAAAAGUUUGAUAGACAGACAGACAGACAGACAGACAGACAGACAGACAGACAGACAGACAGACAGAUAGAUAGAUAGAUAGAUAGAUAGACAGACAGACAGACAGACAGACAGACAGACAGACAGACAGACAGGUAGAAAGAUAGGUAGAAAGAUAGAAAGAAAAACAUGCAUGCAUAUAUUUGAGAAAAAGGUUUUGUAUUUAGAUAUAAAAUAUAAAUGUUAUUUAAAUAUCUAUGCAAAAAAAGUCAUAAAGUGCAAAUCAUCUCAGAUUGGUUUCUCGAACGGCCUCCACAGUCACCAGAUCUCUAUCCAAUAGAGCACCUUGGGAUGUGGUGGAACGGGAGAUUCAUCAUGGAUGUGCAGCCGACAAAUCUGCAGCAACUGUGUGAUGCUAUCAUGCCAAUAUGGACCGAAAUCUCUGAGGAAUAUUUCCAGUACCUUGUUGAAUCUAUGCCAUGAGGGAUUAUGGCAGUUCUGAAGGCAAAAGAGGGUCCAACCUGGUACUAGUACCUAAUAAAGUGACCGGCGACAGGUGAAGCGUCCAAGUGCGUUUCAGGGAUGGUUGCCUGUUAUUGCUCAGCGGAGGAAGGCAUGGGAAUCUCGGCGCUGUCGUCUGCUUCUGGCUUUUUAGUGCUGCUUAUUGAUUUUCCAGUCUUCAGGCCAGACGCUGUGGUUUUCUCCAGCCGCAGGACUGGAGUUUGCGGCACAGAAACCGACUGCACGCCUUGCUACGGGUCAGCGUGCUUCUCCUCGCCAGCCCUGUCAGACAAGUUUCUGAUCAUGUGACAGAAGACGGGCGCAAUGAUGCUGUAAAAUCAGCUUUACAUCACAGGACUCCUUUGCAUAACCUGUCAAUUCUGCAUUUCAAAUCCUUCAACGUACUUGGCGAGUCUCUGGACAAACUGGUUACAGCAGAAAAAUCAUCCAUACGGAGACUCUUGGAUCGGAGACAAAACCUGCAUGGGGUGAAAAGAAGUGAGAAAAGAAGCCAAUUAAGCCAAUUAAAGUUCAAGUUAGGGUGUUAAAUGCUGGUGCUGGGAUGCUGAAAUGAGCACUGGAUACCUGAGGUACUUUUAAACUUGCAUAACUUACCAUAAAUUAUUCAUUCUUUCCUAUUGUAUAGCCAAUUGUUUCUGGAUAGUGAAACUUUUGAUAUUGCAAAUACGUCAUUCUGUCUGUUUUUAUCACCAA